Molecule: transfer RNA, 92 nt
Filed under: Candidatus Peregrinibacteria bacterium CG1_02_41_10
Lineage: Bacteria; Candidatus Peregrinibacteriota
Also listed under: 1 other name
Description: tRNA-Ser
Rfam family: tRNA
About the family: Transfer RNA (tRNA) molecules are approximately 80 nucleotides in length. Their secondary structure includes four short double-helical elements and three loops (D, anti-codon, and T loops). Further hydrogen bonds mediate the characteristic L-shaped molecular structure. tRNAs have two regions of fundamental functional importance: the anti-codon, which is responsible for specific mRNA codon recognition, and the 3' end, to which the tRNAs corresponding amino acid is attached (by aminoacyl-tRNA synthetases). tRNAs cope with the degeneracy of the genetic code in two manners: having more than one tRNA (with a specific anti-codon) for a particular amino acid; and 'wobble' base-pairing, i.e. permitting non-standard base-pairing at the 3rd anti-codon position.
Source: RNAcentral
GGUGGGAUGGCCGAGUGGUUGAAGGCGCCGCUCUCGAAAAGCGGUAUCCCCCUGAUGGGGGAUCCUGGGUUCAAAUCCCAGUCCCACCGCCA